Molecule: ribosomal RNA, 496 nt
Filed under: uncultured bacterium
Lineage: Bacteria
Description: partial 16S ribosomal RNA
Rfam family: Bacterial small subunit ribosomal RNA
Source: RNAcentral
GAUGAACGCUGGCGGCGUGCCUAAUACAUGCAAGUCGAGCGAACAGACGAGGAGCUUGCUCCUCUGACGUUAGCGGCGGACGGGUGAGUAACACGUGGAUAACCUACCUAUAAGACUGGGAUAACUUCGGGAAACCGGAGCUAAUACCGGAUAAUAUAUUGAGCCGCAUGGUUCAAUAGUGAAAGACGGUUUUGCUGUCACUUAUAGAUGGAUCCGCGCCGCAUUAGCUAGUUGGUAAGGUAACGGCUUACCAAGGCGACGAUGCGUAGCCGACCUGAGAGGGUGAUCGGCCACACUGGAACUGAGACACGGUCCAGACUCCUACGGGAGGCAGCAGUAGGGAAUCUUCCGCAAUGGGCGAAAGCCUGACGGAGCAACGCCGCGUGAGUGAUGAAGGUCUUCGGAUCGUAAAACUCUGUUAUGAGGGAAGAACAAAUGUGUAAGUAACUAUGCACGUCUUGACGGUACCUAAUCAGAAAGCCACGGCUAACUACGU